UCCUGAGAUAUUAAAAUCAAACAUGNUCUCUUUCUCUUUCCUUCGGUGAGUCUUUCUUUCUUUCUUUCUAUCUUUCUUUCUCUAUCUUUCUUUCUUUCUUUCUUUCUUUCUUUCUUUCGUUCUCUAUCUUUCUUUCUUUAUCUCUUUCUUUCCUUUCCUUUCCUUUCCUUUCCUUUCCUUUCCUUUCCUUUCCUUUCCUUUCCUUUCCUUUCCUUUCCUUUCCUUUCCUUUCCUUUCCUUUCCUUUCCUUUCCUUUCCUUUCCUUUCCUUUCCUUUCCUUUCCUUUCCUUUCCUUUCCUUUCCUUUCCUUUCCUUUCCUUUCCUUUCCUUUCUCUGUCUCUCUCUUUCUUUCUUUCGUUCGAUUUCUUCAUUUCUUCUGCUUUUCUCUUUCUCUUUCUUUCUUUCUUUCUUUCUUUUCCUUCCUUCCUUCAUUCCUUUCUUUUUCUUCCUUUCCUUUCCUUUCCUUUCCUUUCCUUUCCUUUCCUUUCCUUUCCUUUCCUUUCCUUUCCUUUCCUUUCCUUUCCUUUCCUUUCCUUUCCUUUCCUUUCCUUUCCUUUCCUUUCCUUUCCUUUCCUUAUCCUCCAGCAUCUAGCAAAAUGGUAUGCACACAGUACAUAUUUAAUAAAGGCUUAUUCAAAUGAAUUUUAUUAGAUCAUAACAUCUUAGAAGUAUAAGGGACCUAAAAAACAAACAACAACAAAAUAAUUCAUAGGCUCCAGCUCAGUAAUAUACAGAUUAUUUCUCGAUUGAUUAAUUCUUCUUCCAUUUAUACUCCCUUAACAUUCAUUACUUUUUUUUUCUCAACAUAUUCAUGUUCAUUUGUAGACCACAUUAACUCUAAGGCAUCCUUUUCUCAACUU
This 860-nucleotide long non-coding RNA is filed under the name Monodelphis domestica (gray short-tailed opossum). Its description in RNAcentral is "lncRNA (ENSMODG00000049202.1)". The record is from RNAcentral. Lineage: Eukaryota; Metazoa; Chordata; Mammalia; Didelphimorphia; Didelphidae.